CAGUCGCCGCGGUAAUACGAAGGGGGCUAGCGUUGUUCGGAUUUACUGGGCGUAAAGCGCACGUAGGCGGAUCGAUCAGUCAGGGGUGAAAUCCCAGAGCUCAACUCUGGAACUGCCUUUGAUACUGUCGAUCUGGAGUAUGGAAGAGGUGAGUGGAAUUCCGAGCGUAGAGGUGAAAUUCGUAGAUAUUCGGAGGAACACCAGUGGCGAAGGCGGCUCACUGGUCCAUUACUGACGCUGAGGUGCGAAAGCGUGGGGAGCAAACAGGUUUAGAUACCCCUGUAGUCCCUGUCUCUUAUAC
Molecule: ribosomal RNA, 301 nt
Filed under: uncultured bacterium
Lineage: Bacteria
Description: partial 16S ribosomal RNA
Rfam family: Bacterial small subunit ribosomal RNA
Source: RNAcentral